AUGGUGACAAAGGACAUGGAAAAGAAGCUUGUGGGGUGCGGCCUGAUGGACAGGGAACGAGAGGGUGACGGUGGCCUAAAGAUGAAGGGACGUUUGUGGCCUGACCACAAGAGCAUGGCCACGGUGCAAAUUCCUCUAUAUCUUUCCAUGGGGCCAUGGCUGUUCCAGAGUAUGGCAACUGUGCAAAAUCAGUUGUCUCCCUGGUCAAAGCAGAUGCUCGGGGUCACGUCCAAUGUCGCUGCCGAGUUUGCCGGAGGAAGAAGCGCCGAGUUUGCCAGAGGAACGAAAACAUCUGUCGAGCCGUCCAAUGUCGCUCGCGGCGGGCUACAACAGAGCACAAUGACCAUCCUCGCAGAAGCAUAG
This 363-nucleotide ribosomal RNA is filed under the name Triticum aestivum (bread wheat). RNAcentral describes it as "partial small subunit ribosomal RNA". The record is from RNAcentral. Lineage: Eukaryota; Viridiplantae; Streptophyta; Magnoliopsida; Poales; Poaceae.